AGAGUUUGAUCAUGGCUCAGGACGAACGCUGGCGGCGUGCUUAACACAUGCAAGUGGAGCGACGAACCAGGGCUUGCCCUGGGGCAGAGCCGCGAACGGGUGAGUAACACGUGGGUAACCUGCCCAGAUGACCGGGACAACCCGAGGAAACUCGGGCUAAUACCGGAUGUGUUCAUCUCACAUCAGUGAGAUGAGGAAAGGAAGCUUCGGCCUCCGCAUCUGGAUGGGCCCGCGGCCCAUUAGCUUGUUGGUGGGGUAAUGGCCUACCAAGGCUGCGAUGGGUAGCUGUUCUGAGAGGAAGAUCAGCCACACUGGGACUGAGACACGGCCCAGACUCCUACGGGAGGCAGCAGUGGGGAAUCUUGCGCAAUGCGCGAAAGCGUGACGCAGCAACGCCGCGUGCGGGAAGACGGCCUUCGGGUUGUAAACCGCUUUCAGUUGGGACGAAGCUUCGCCGGUGAAUAGCCGGCUGGAGUGACGGUACCUUCAGAAGAAGCCCCGGCUAACUACGUGCCAGCAGCCGCGGUA
This 528-nucleotide ribosomal RNA is filed under the name uncultured Actinomycetes bacterium. RNAcentral's name for it is "bacterial SSU rRNA". It matches the Rfam family "Bacterial small subunit ribosomal RNA", at positions 8 to 522 of the family's 1533-position model. The record is from RNAcentral. Lineage: Bacteria; Bacillati; Actinomycetota; Actinomycetes.